Long non-coding RNA from Zea mays, 704 nucleotides. RefSeq lists it as uncharacterized. The transcript has 2 exons. Lineage: Eukaryota; Viridiplantae; Streptophyta; Magnoliopsida; Poales; Poaceae. The record is from RefSeq and is a predicted model, not a curated record.
GCUUCCUCUUGUUCGCCUUCCACUGCUUCACUAUGUAGGCUACUGCCUCGCCCAUCGGUGCUCUCCGGUCCUCCUUGAAGUUCCACAGCUCCGGUAUGGGGUACCUGCCGCUUGGAUUGUACUCGUUCAUCUCAAGAAGGGCCUUGACGACCACAUCGUGCGCCUGCACACCCAGUUCAGCCUUCAAAGCUUGCAGCUUCUCAUCAUCCUCCCGAAUUAUUUCCUGCACCAUCGAGUGAGUGUUUUAGACACAGCAAGCAGGCCAAGCAUGCUUCACCACAGAGCUUGUAUUGAAUUCCAGUGCAAGUGUCAAACCGAAAUGGUUUCACACCACAUUCUUGGAAAAGAAGAAUACUGCAGUGCUAAUUGUGGGAAGUACUAAUGUUGACAAAGUUGGAUGGCAGAAGCACAAAGAAUAUGCUAAAAACAAUUACUUGGCUACUGUCUGAGCAAUCAAAGUGACCCGAUCAAUGCACACAAGAUAAACUUGAAAGUUGACUUAUUUGGGAUAUAAUUCGGUUAAAAUUAAAUCCAGAACAGAUGAAUAAUAUUCUCAAGGAAGUGCAGUAACAGUUGGCUCCAGUAAAAUUAUUUCAAACUUUUUGUAUGUUUGCUUACAAACCGGCUUUCUUCCUGAAUUACAAAACUGAAAAUGUUCUUUUACAUCCUAUUCAAAAAGAUCAAUGGUAUUUACAAUUCAUUCA